This 478-nucleotide ribosomal RNA is filed under the name uncultured bacterium. RNAcentral describes it as "bacterial SSU rRNA". It matches the Rfam family "Bacterial small subunit ribosomal RNA", at positions 15 to 507 of the family's 1533-position model. The record is from RNAcentral.
GAUCAGUGGCUCAGGACGAACGCUGGCGGCGUGCUUAACACAUGCAAGUCGAACGGUGACGGAGAGCUUGCUCUCCUGAUCAGUGGCGAACGGGUGAGUAACACGUGGGCAACCUGCCCCAGACUUCGGGAUAACGCUUCGAAAGAGGUGCUAAUACCGAAUACGAACCUCCCUGGCAUCUGGGAGGUUGGAAAGUUUUCGGUCUGGGAUGGGCCCGCGGCCUAUCAGCUUGUUGGUGAGGUAACGGCUCACCAAGGCGACGACGGGUAGCCGGCCUGAGAGGGCGACCGGCCACACUGGGACUGAGACACGGCCCAGACUCCUACGGGAGGCAGCAGUGGGGAAUAUUGCGCAAUGGGCGAAAGCCUGACGCAGCAACGCCGCGUGAGGGAUGACGGCCUUCGGGUUGUAAACCUCUUUCAGCAGGGAAGAAGCGAAAGUGACGGUACCUGCAGAAGAAGCACCGGCUAACUACGUG